Lagenorhynchus albirostris (white-beaked dolphin) is the source of this 6067-nucleotide long non-coding RNA. RefSeq lists it as uncharacterized. The transcript is spliced from 2 exons. The record is from RefSeq and is a predicted model, not a curated record. NCBI's taxonomy places the organism in Eukaryota, Metazoa, Chordata, Mammalia, Artiodactyla, Delphinidae.
UUUCCUCUAAGAGUUUUAUAGUGUCUGGCCUUACAUUUAGGUCUGUAAUCCGUUGAUUUUAUUAUUUGUGUGUAUGGUGUUAGGGAGUGUUCUAAUCUCACUCUUUUACAUGUAGCUGUCCAGCUCUCCCAGCACCUCAGUGGUAGAUUUACCGCGAGUUCUUGGAGGGACCAGAUGCUGUUCUACUCAUUUGUGUAUUCCUAGUAGUUAGUUAGCACGGCACUGUGUGGAGCUGCCUGACAAACUUUUGUUAGAUUCCAGGGUAGUUCUCUGAGAAGAUGUAGGGGGACUCUGGCCUCUGCCUUAAAACCCUAUUCAACUUGAGACGGGGCUUUCCUGAACCAAACCUUCGUGUGUCCCCCUUGUCAUAGUUGGGAGAUGACUCUUUGGACAAUCUCCCCCUCCUCCCACCAAAGCAGUGGUUAACCUAGGAGUACUUUUUAUUUCUGCCCUAAUCUCAAAUUUAAACCAAAAGCAGUCUCUCCCUGUCCCCACAUACAUGCACCUGAAAAUAGGCCAAAUGACUUUAUUGAGUCAUCUGCAUACCGAGAUUUCAACAUUGGGCAUAAAUACCACCAACGAACCAUUUCCACACCGGGAAGAGAAAACAAAUACAAUGACACAGCCCCAAAUUGAAAACAAAGCAAAAUUUAUUGCAUGUGAAAAGCAAUCACAUGGAAAUUAAGGGUCAGGAACCAUGAAAAUACAUAUUUCGCAUAUUUUCUGUCCUGUUCCAGCGUAGGAUCACUCACUCUUCGCUCUCAUGGACCACCAUCUGGGGAGAAAGUGGGCAUCUUGAGUUCUGUCAGAUGGCAGAGCCGCAUUUCCGGCCACGCCCCCUCCCAGCGAGCAUCUGGGGUUGCUUGCUUGUCUGUUUCAGCGGGACACGGGAUAUUCCUUGGAUCGCAGGCGGAUACACGAGUGCCGACGUGGCGGCAGUCACCCCACAGCCUGAGAGCCUGGUCCUCAGAAUAGCCCAGGGAUCUAGGAACCUACACCUACAGUGGGCGCAGAGACGGCGGGCGGCCGGCAGAGGGCGCCCGAGCCCACGCAGGAACCGCUCGCUGCUUUUCAGGACGGUGUUCUACUGGGACUCACAGACCGGGGUUUAGCCGGGCUCUACGCCAGCUACGUGGCUUUAAGCAAAUCCUUUCCUUUCCUGAGCCCGAGACUGACCAGUCCUAAAGUCGAAGGUUCUCCAAAGUCCCGUCCGUCACGGCGCGUUCCUCCCCGGGGGGGGGGCCGCACCUCCCGCUGCAUCGCCCUCCCCACCCAGUGCCGCAGGGCCACCUACUCGGCUGGAGGUGAAGUCUCUGGUCUUCGCGCGGAGCUUAUUGACUUGAGAUUCGGCAAUAUCGGCCCGUUCUUCAGCCUCCUCCAGCUCAUGCUGAGCUUUCCGGAACUUGGUGAGAUGAGCGUUGGCUUGUUCAUCCUAAAAGCAAAGAGCCGGGGCGGGUACGAUCAGCGAGCGCCGCUCUGGGGCUCGCAGGGGGAAACAGGCCAGGCGCUGUGCUGGGGUCCUGCGGACUUACAGCCUCCUCGGCCUGCCUCUUGUAGGACUUGACCUUCACUUGAAGUUUGUCCACCAGAUCCUGUAAUCUCACCACGUUCUUCCUGUCCUCUUCGCACUGAAAGAGAGAACAUGGGACAGACUUAGCCAGGGGCCGGCAGGGAUGCAAGAGGUCCCAGUUCUCUCUGGGGCUAAAGGAUUUCUCCCUGUUUUCUGGAGAGAGGACCCGGGAGGGUGUUCGCACUUCACAGAGGAAAUGCCCGUGGGGUUUCUUUCCACUUGCCUGGUAAGUUAACUCCUUGACCCGCCGCUCAUACUUCCUCAGGCCCUUGACAGACUCGGUGUUCUUCUUCUGCUCCCCUUCAAGCUCAAACUCCAGCUCUCGGAUCUGGGGGAACGUGUGUAAAUUAGUCUGGGGCUGGAGUACGAACGGGAGAGGCCAGAAAGCUCUGUGUAGGCUGGGGCCUGUCCUGCAAGUACCCGCGCCUCCAGCUUCUGGAUCUGCUUCUUCCCGCCCUUCAGGGCCAGCUGCUCAGCCUCGUCCAGGUGGUGCUGCAGGUCCUUCACCGUCUGCUCCAGGUUCUUCUUCAUGCGCUCCAGGUGGGCGCUGGUGUCCUGCUCCUUCUUCAGCUCCUCAGCCAUCAUGGCCGCCUGAAAAGCACAUCAUCCCACUCAGAUGCAGACCAAGGUCAAGUGCUUGGAGCUGUUGAAAUCUGGGUACCCGGAGGACCAGAGCCAUGCUGAUGACAAAGGACAAUAGUGAACCACCAGAGACUAACCAAGUACAAAAUGCCUCUGAAAUCAACUCAAGAGGCGUAUCCAGCUCCAUUGGGCACAGGACAUGCUACUGCCUGUGUCCUUCAGGCAAGUCGGAAAGUCUGUACUGAGGACUCGCCUCCCAGGCCGGCCGGCACACGCAGCUGAUGCCGUUUAAAGUAAUAGUUCAGUUCUGGUCCUCCAUUUAUUAGACCUCAUCUGUAUAUCAUCAUACUGCCACUCACCCUCCCUAAGUGACAGUAACCAGAUUAAGACCACAUCACUGUUCUUGAGUGAGUCAAGUUUAGCAUCUCUGCGUUGCUCGUUUUGAGAUGACUUAAACCAAGUACAAGCAAAUAAAUCUGUAUCUUUCUUACCCUGAAGAGGGCAGAGACGGUCUGGAAGGAAGAGCCCUUUUUCUUGGCAGCUUUCUUCUUCCCACCAUCAGCUGAAAGAAAGAAAAGACGGCGUGUGCUGCUAGCAGACCUGCAGAGCUGCUCCAGCCCCGUGGGCUGGUGGAGUGAAAAAGUGCGGGUCCAAGGCACCCCGCGGAGUCUGUUACCGUCUGCUGUGGCGAAGGUGGCGUAGAGGUGUGCCAGGAGCCUGUUGGAGGACUUCUGGUACAGGCCGACCACCGUCUCGUUCAGGGGGUCCUUGUUCUUCUCCAGCCAGCCCGAGACGCUGUAGUCCACGGUGCCCGCAUAGUGGAUCAGCGAGAAGUGGGCCUCGGCCCUGCCCUUGACCGCCUUGGGCUUCUGGAAGUUGCUGGACUUGCCCAGGUGCUGGUCAUACAGCUUGUUCUUGAAGGAGGUGUCUGUGGCCUUGGGGAACAUGCACUCCUCUUCCAGGAUGGAGAAGAUGCCCAUCGGCUGGACCAAGGCAGAGUGCAUACGGGGCAGGUAUGAGCUGCAGUGUCAAGCAGCAGGUCGGCGAGGGGCGGCUGCUGAGUGCACACAGCAGGUACCUUCUCGAUGAGCUCAAUGCAGGCGGCCAGGUCCAUCCCGAAGUCGAUGAACUCCCACUCGAUGCCCUCCUUCUUGUACUCCUCCUGCUCCAGCACGAACAUGUGGUGGUUGAAGAACUGCUGCAGCUUCUCGUUGGUGAAGUUGAUGCACAGCUGCUCCAGGCUGUUGUACUAACACCAAAACAUAAGGUUCACAUGAAAAGUUAGACUUCUUUCAAAACCAAACACGCAUCAGCCUUCCUCCUCAUGGUCUUGGGCUCUCGCCAGCUCAUUUAUGCUUUCAGGAAUGGGCACACUCUUGGGCUCAGCGGAGACCACACGUCCUUGGAGUCUUCUCUGAUUUCCAGCUGGAAGAUGCUUCUCCUGAGUCCACGGUCUGGGCCUCUCCUGGGCGCUGGCCACGGCCUGCCUUAUCUGUAGUUGGUCUUCUGUGUGCCUUACGUACUUCUCGUUGUCCUCUACAAACUACAAGCUCAUCUUUUUUUCACCUGCAAGUCUUAUCCCUGGCAGACACCAAACAUAUGCUUCGAUGAAUGGCUAUGUGCUUCUAACCCAGAGCCAGUAGGAUAUUUAUGUAAAACAUCGCAUGGUUGGCUUAUUGUCAACUUCUUCUCUGUUUCUGGCUCUCCCUAUUGUCAGUAAUUGCAUUUGAUUUUUUGUUUUCUUUUAUCCGUUUGAGGAUGUCUUUAAAAUUCCACUUGACACAAGCCUUCCUCCCUCUUAAAAUAAUACAAACCCUUCCACGUUCUCUUCUACCUGAUCCACCCUCCAUCUCGUUUUCCUCCAAGAUGUGAUGCUGGAUGACGUGUGGGCUGCCUUGACAUCUUGCCUAUAGGAUCACGAAAACCAGCCCCCAGCACAAAGCCAAACGAGUAUAACACAAACCUCAAAGAUCUCAAAGCCCGCGAUGUCCAGGACGCCAAUGAAGUGCUGUCUGGGCAGUUUGGUGUCCAGCUGCUGGUUGAUGCGGGUGACCAUCCACAGGAACAGCUUCUCGUAGACGGACUUGGAGAGGGCGUUCACGGCAUGGUGCACCUGUGCGGAGGGGCCAGCCGGUGAGUCUGGAGGCAGCGGCCGGCGGGUGCUGCGUCCUUUCCCAGCCUGCGGCAGCCACUUACCUGGUCCACAGUCUGGCCCUUGGUAACAUACUCGUUCCCAACUUUCACUCUGGGGAAGCACAAAGCUUUCAGGAGGUCCGAAGAGUUCAGGCCCAUCAGAUAGGCUGUCUUGUCAGCCACUGGCAGGAAAAGAAGGCUGAUUACAAGGGAAACCCCUGAUGCUUGGCAAAGCGGAAGAGCCACUCUGAAAGUCAUCCGGAUGUUUCCACGCUCGGCUCAGCCCAUCUUCAUGUGUUUACAUUCCGUGUCUCUAAACUGCUUACCUGUGGCCGGUGGGAGCUGAGUCACUCAGAGAAUAUGAUAGAUUUUAUGAAAAGGCGGCACUGGCUUCCAGAAAACCCUGGUCACUUCUUACUGUAUCUGAGGCAGGACCAUUCUAGUGAUUCAGCAGACGGGUCAGUAACCGUGCCUGUAGGCAUCUGAGCCCUGAAGAGGUUCGCCUCUCUAGGCAGGAGGAGGAGUAAGCGCUUUCAAAAGAGGCCCUGAGGGGCUUCCCUGGUGGUGCAGUGGUUGAGAGUCCGCCUGCCGAUGCAGGGGACUCGGGUUCAUGCCCCGGUCCAGGAAGAUCCCACAUGCCGCGGAGUGGCUGGGCCUGUGCGUUCGGAGCCUGUGCUCCGCAACGGGAGAGGCCACAACAGUGAGAGGCCCGCGUACGGCAAAAAAAAAGGCCCCGAGCGACCUCAGCUGGACGCCCCCUGGCCCUGCCCGCGCGGUCGCCGCGGUGACGUGGUACCUUCAGUGCCGUCUGGCUCUGCCUGCUCCUCCCGCUGCUUCUGCUUGAACUUCAUGUUCCCGUAGUGCAUCACGGCGCCUGUCAGCUUGUAGAGUCCACACUUCUCCUCUGGGGUGAAGCCCAGGAUGUCAAUGGCGCUCUGGCAUCGGAGGACAGCACGUCAGCCGGUUGACCCCAGUGAUGGAGGAGCAGCCCCGCGCCCACCCCUCCCCCCCCCGUCUGCUUACAUCCGUAGCCAGCAGCUCCUCCGCAUCGUCAAUGCUGCCCACCAGGAUCUCACCCUGGCUGAUGAACGGGUAGUCAUAAGGGUUGGUUGUAAUAAGCAGCAGCUCUGCAAUGAUGACCAUUCAGAGGAGGUCACAUGGAUGCAAAGAAAACAUCCACUAGGGGCUUUCAGCUUCUGCGUCCUCAGCUGAGACUUUUGCUGCUGGGGCCCAGGCUGAGGGUAGUUAGAAAUCUCUUAAACAGUCUCUCGAUACUCAGGCUGUGGCAGAAUAUGAAGUCCAGGGAAGACUCUGCAGCCCGCCCAGGCCAUGUAGGGUAAGAACCACAGAGAGAAUAUUGAAAUUCUCUUGCUUUGCGUGCAAAGGGCGCAGAUCCAUGUCGGUUGGGAAAGGUUAAUCGGGAAAACUGGCCGAGUGUGGGCCAGGACAGAGCCACAGGGAGGGAAGCACAGAUCAUUUGGUAGAAGCACAGUCUUUUCCAAAACCUGUUGAAAAGCUGCAGCCUAUUUCCAGGCUUGGGCCCAGAAGGCUGAGCAGACACAGCCAGGGAGCAAAGAAGGGCACGAGGCCCCUGUUAGGUGCGGGACGAAGGGCAGGGUGGACAUCCACCAGCUGGUGGUUCAUCUGAUUUUGCGUUGGCCUCAGCAUUUGGUGAAAUGUUGGUUUCUGUGCCAGAACACAAGGGGGCGCUAGAGGACCACUACAUGCUUGGUCAUUCGGCCAGUUUCCAUAAACCAGAGCUGAAUAAACCAAUUGUGCCUC